This 65-nucleotide transfer RNA is filed under the name Ixodes fecialis. Its description in RNAcentral is "tRNA-Asn". Lineage: Eukaryota; Metazoa; Arthropoda; Arachnida; Ixodida; Ixodidae. The record is from RNAcentral.
UUAAUAGAAGCCAAAAUAUGAGGCUAUUCACUGUUAAUGAAUAUAUUGAUUUUUCUCCUAUUAAA